This 86-nucleotide transfer RNA is filed under the name Nanobdellati archaeon. RNAcentral describes it as "DPANN group archaeon (marine metagenome) tRNA-Leu". It matches the Rfam family "tRNA". From Rfam's summary of the family: Transfer RNA (tRNA) molecules are approximately 80 nucleotides in length. Lineage: Archaea; Nanobdellati. The record is from RNAcentral.
GCGGAGGUUGCAGAGUCUGGUCAAAUGCGCAGGACUUAAGAUCCUGUCCCUUAGUGGGUCCGAGGGUUCGAAUCCCUCCCUCCGCA